Non-coding RNA from Ictidomys tridecemlineatus (thirteen-lined ground squirrel), 4574 nucleotides. The record is from RefSeq and is a predicted model, not a curated record. NCBI's taxonomy places the organism in Eukaryota, Metazoa, Chordata, Mammalia, Rodentia, Sciuridae.
CGCCUUCCUCGAUCGGACCUGCCCUGCCGCGCAGACGCACACGCGCGGUGCCGCCUGCUUUUGCAGAUUCGCGGAAUCCCAGCGGGGAGCGGCGGGGGCUUUGAAGGCCGCAGUCACGCCUCACGCGGGGACCGGAGCUCGCGGCCGCCCGCCGGUUGAGGCCGGGCCAGGCCGGAUAGCCGGUGCGCUCAGGGAGGGAUCCCGCUGUCCCGGGCGCCCGGCUGCCGGCAGCAUGGAGCCCGCGCGCUCUGCAGUCGGACUCAGCAUCCGGGAAGCGGUGCACGUCCUCCAGUCUUCUGAGGACGGUGGCCGCGUCCUCUCCGCCCUGGAGUCCCUGCAGCGCUAUCUGCGAGGAACCGCGGAGCCCGCGCUGCCCGGAGAGCAGGAGGAGUUCGCCGCCAAGCACUUCGCUGUCGUGCUGCGCUGUCUGGUCGGCAGGCUGAGCCCCCGCUGGCUGCAGCUGUCGCCCGGCGACCGGCUGGAGCAGCUCUGGGACAGCUUCUUCCUGGAGGGCCCUGCUGACCAGGCCUUCCUAGUGCUGAUGGAGGCCAUCGAGGGCACUGCCGGCCCCAGCUUCCGUCUGAUGAAGAUGGCACAGCUGCUGGCCAGGUUUCUGAGUGAGGGCAGGGUAGCGGCCCUGAUGGAGGAGCAGUGCCGGCCGCAGAUGAAGCCUGGCUUUCCCCUGCUCCAGGAGACACUACUCAGCAAGGUGGUGAGCCUGCCUGACCACCUGGGCAACCAUCUGCAGCAGGAUAACCUGGCCCAGUUCUUCCCCCAGAACUACUUCCCACUGCUGGGUGAGGAGGCCGUGCAGGUGCUGCAGUCAGUGGUGGAUUCUCUCCGAGGUGGCCUACACUGUUCUGUCUCCUUUGUGUCUCGAGUCCUUGGGAAGGUGUGCAUCCAGGGGAGACACAAGGAGAUCUUGGGCAGGUUGGUGCCCCAACUGACAGCACGCACCCAGGGCAGCUGCUUGUGGCAGCGGGUCUGCUGGCGCCUAGUGGAGCAAGUGCCGGACAGGGCCAUGGAGGCUGUGCUCACAGGGUUGGUGGAGGCCACUCCGGGGCCUGAGGUCCUGUCACGACUACUGGGGAAUCUGGUGCUGAAGAAUAAGAAAGCCCAGUUUGUGAUGACCCGGAAGCUUCUGUUCAUGCAGUACCGGUGCACGACACCCAUGCUGCAGAGCCUGCUGGGGUACCUGGCCAUGGACAGCCAGCGGCGUCCAUUCCUCAUACAGGCGCUAAAGGAGCUGCUGGAGACCUGGGGCAGCAGCAGUGCUGUCCGACACACGCCCCUGGCUCAGCAGCGCUAUGUCAGCAUGGCGGUGCUCAUCUGCCUGGCACACCUUGGGGAGCCAGAGCUGCGGGACAGCCGGGAAGAGUUGCUGGCCAGCAUGAUGGCAGGUGUGAAGUGCCGCCUGGACAGCAGCCUGCCUGCCGUGCGCCGCCUAGGCAUGAUCGUGGCCGAGGUCAUCAGCACCCGGAUCCACCCUGAGGGGCCUCCAUUGAGAUUCCAGUAUGAAGACGAUGAGCUGAGCCGUGAGAUGCUGGCCUUGGCCACUCCCCGGCCUGUGGGAGACAGCCCCUUGGAGGCAAGAAGCUCAUCACUGGAUCCAGUUGUGGCAGAGACCCCUGCAGAGACCAUGGAGGGUAGUGUGCCCCCAGCUCAGCUGCAGGGCUCUGACUCGGAGCUGGACAGUGACGAUGAUUUCAUCCCCUAUGACAUGUCAGGGGACAAAGAGCUGAAGAGCAGCAAGGCACCUCAGUAUGUGCGGGACUGCAUGGAAGCACUGACCACAUUUGAGGAUAAGGAUAUGGAGCGCUGGGAGGCCGCCCUGAAGGCCCUGGAAGGCCUAGUCCGCAGGAACCCUGAGGCCACACGGGAGGUGAGUGUGGAGCUGGCCAGGGUACUGUUGCACCUGGAGGAGAGGACCUGUGUGGCGGGAUUUGAGGAACUGCGCCAGAGAGCCCUGGUGGCUGUUACAGUCACAGACCCAGCCCAGGUAGCUGAGCACCUGACCUCACAGUUCUAUGCCCUGAACUACAGCCUCCGGCAGCGCAUGGACAUCCUGGAUGUCCUGACUCUGGCUGCCCAGGAGCUGUCUCGGCCAGGGCGCCUUGGGCGGUCUCCCCAACACAGUUCCGUGGGUCCCAGCACCCAGUGCUCACCAACACUGACUGCCUCUCAGUCUGGCAGUGUCAUGGUUCCUGACUGGAGGGUGGUGGUAGAAAAUCGGAUCAGAAGCAAGACCCGGCACUUCUCCAAGGGCUCUCCCUGGCAGGAGCCAGCAGGUGGCCCCAAUGAAUUUGCCUCCGUGGCUGGCUGUUUCUUUUUCCCCCUCAUUCAUCAUUUUGACAGGCCUCUAGUGACCUUUGACCUUUUGGGAGAUGACCAGUUGGUUCUUGGAAGAUUGACCCAUACUUUGGGGGCCUUGAUGUAUCUGGCAGUCAACACCACAGUGGCUGUACGCAUGGGUAAGGCCCUGCUGGAAUUUGUGUGGGCCCUUCGCUUCCAUGUGGACACCUACGUGCGCCGGGGCUUGCUUUCUGCGGUCUCCUCUGUCCUCCUCAGCGUACCUGCAGAGCGAUUACUAGAGGACCUGCCAGAUGAGCUGCUGGAAACCAGGUCCUGGCUGGCAGUCCUGGUAGGGUGGAAGCACCGGCUCUGUCUCCUCACAUGCAGUCUGGAAGAACUGCAGGAGCUCAGGGCUCAUCUCCUCAGGCUGGUUUUAACCCAGGUUGGUGCUCAGGAUAGCUGAGCUAUGUGACUGGACUGUGGCCAGGAUCCCUCGCUCCCAGUGGAGGUGUCUCCAUCACCUGUCCCAUGGUAGAGAGCCCUUUGCCAGAUGUGGCUGAGAAAGAUGUUGAUGAGAACUGCAGGGAGCUGGCCGUGAGAGCGCUGCUGCUUCUGGAGCGACUCAGAGACAGACUCCUCUCCCUUCCCUCCUAGUCCCUGAUGGACCCUAGGCAUUCCUGCUGGGUGGGAGGAAGGCUUCAAAGAGUGGACCCCUGUAACAUUUGAGUUUGCAGUUUGACCAGGUCUGGAGGGCCAUCUGGUUCCAGUGCAUGCAUGUAGGAAGGGUGUGUUCAGCUAAAAAUAUGGAGGGCCUCGCCCUGGCCCCCACAGGCAGAGCAACCCAAGUGCUGGCCUGCAGCUCCCAGUGGGCCCUGUGGUCAGGGAAUGCCAGAAGCAGGAAGGAAGCAGCUGCUCAGAGCCCAUAGCAGAGCAGGCUUGGCCCUUGGCCCUGUGGCUCAGUGCUGUCCCAGGAGAAUAAAUAGGGCAGGAGGUAUCACAAGUCAUCUUUGUGGUUAUCAGUGAGCAGGGACUUCAGUUCCUAGAGGACUAUGAGAUGCAACCAUGAAACUGGAGUGCAGUGUGAGGCAAAGAGGGGUGGAAGGGGCCUAGGCCUCUGAGAAAGUAGGCUUUAUUGGAGUUGUAGGAAUGUCAACAUCUGGUGGUAGGUGUGACCGACAGGACUUGGGCCUGGCCACAGUGGUCCCUGCUGAAUCAUCCUGGAGCCAUCUGGGUGUGGGUGUGAUUAGCAGUGAUGGGCAUCUCCAAGACCCAGGUGCAGCCUCAGUGCACCAAGUUCUACAAGUUCCUUCCACUCCACAACUGGUAGUCGGGAGAACCUGGGAAAGCUGAAUCCAGCUCCUUUAAAAGGAAUUAAACUAAAACACCACCGAAGCUGCCAAGUGCCCUGAGGCAGGAACACCAAGGGAAGACUUAGGGAUACAGGCAGUCCUCUGCACACUGUGGGCUGGGCCCUGCUUACUUGUUAUGAUAUGAACAAGUUUUUUUUCCCCCUACAAAAAAGAGAUGACUAGAGACUGGAAAUUCCAGAAGCAGAUCUCAGCAGCAGGACAAUGGCCAAGGCCCAUCAGGGGCCGUUCUCUACCUCCUCUACCACCUCAUCGUGGUCCUCGAUGCUGUUGUGGCGGAUCCGCUCAGGCACCACACGUGUCAGAGGGAGUCCCAGGCCCUGAUGCACGGCAUCCACUGUCUGCUGGUCCACGUAGUAGGACAUGUUGGCAGAAGGAAGUCUCUUGCGCAUCUCCUCGAGGUACCUGUAGGCCUAGGGCAGAGGGAACAGCUGUUUCUUAAAGGCCCAGUGGACACCUCAGCAUAUGAGAGCCAAGGGAGCCAUCUUGUCUGUUCACUGUAAUAAGGUCACCUCAAUAUGAAGUACCCACUCUGUCCCAGGGGUUGUAAGCAGGGAAGCAUGCCUUCUGAGGUUUCUGGUAUUUAUAAGGGGACAUGUGUCUCAGGGCAAGGUAUGUUUCAGGCUGUGGCCAGUAUGAACAACUGAAAACCUGAACCCCAGAGAGUCCUCUGGCAACCCAGAGCAAGAAUGUGGUUCAAGUUCCAGAAUUGUAUUCCCUCUAAAACUGCUCCCUGGAUGGUAGUGGACCUGCUGCGGGAGGGUGGAUUCCAUUUCCGUCUACUGUAGCACAUGUACUUGCUGGAAUGAAGGGCAGGCAUUGUUUAUUUCAGCUUAGUAUAAAAUUUAUCCCAAUUCUAUUGUAUCUCCUGUGUGAAUGGUCCUUGAUCCUAGGCCUGUAAACUGGAAAUGUCAA